Molecule: unclassified non-coding RNA, 364 nt
Filed under: uncultured fungus
Lineage: Eukaryota; Fungi
Description: partial contains 5.8S ribosomal RNA, internal transcribed spacer 2, and large subunit ribosomal RNA
Rfam family: 5.8S ribosomal RNA (bases 1-52)
Source: RNAcentral
AACGCACCUUGCGCUCUUGGGUAUUCCUAGGAGCAUGUCUGUUUGAGUGUCUCGAAAACCUCUCAAAGCCCCCUCUUUUUGUUUGUUCGAGAAGAGUGUACACACACUGUUUCAUGGGUUUUGGAUUGUGACGGCUGUACUUUUUCGUCGAGAAGACGUAGCUGUCGAAAUUGAAGUUUGGAAAGGGUUCCUCUUUUUAGAGUUGCAACAAGUCUGGAAAACGUUUAGCUUUUCUGCGUAAUAAUUAUUUCGCAUGGGGCAUUAAAACUUUUCUGGUCUGCAAACAAAGACACCCUACAAAAAUAACUAGCAUAUAAAGCAAAAAUUUGACCUCAAAUCAGGCAGGACUACCCGCUGAACUUAA